UACGGGGGGAGCAAGCGUUGUUCGGAUUUACUGGGCGUAAAGGGCGCGUAGGCGGUCGUGACAAGUCACUUGUGAAAUCUCCGGGCUUAACUCGGAACGGUCAAGUGAUACUGUCGGACUAGAGUACAGAAGGGGCAACUGGAAUUCUCGGUGUAGCGGUGAAAUGCGUAGAUAUCGAGAGGAACGCCUGCGGCGAAGGCGGGUAGCUGGGCCGACACUGACGCUGAUGCGCGAAAGCCAGGGGAGCGAACUGG
Molecule: ribosomal RNA, 254 nt
Filed under: uncultured bacterium
Lineage: Bacteria
Description: partial 16S ribosomal RNA
Rfam family: Bacterial small subunit ribosomal RNA
Source: RNAcentral